UCGUGGAGUAAUUUGUCUGGUUAAUUCCGUUAAUGAACGAGACCUUAUCUUACUAAUUGGAAAGUGUAUUCUAUACAUGUUUCCUCUUAGAAGAACGGUGAAUUCAUAAUUCAAGGAAGCGUGAGGCAAUAACA
RNAcentral lists this ribosomal RNA (134 nucleotides) under uncultured eukaryote. RNAcentral's name for it is "partial 18S ribosomal RNA". It matches the Rfam family "Eukaryotic small subunit ribosomal RNA", at positions 1299 to 1458 of the family's 1831-position model. The record is from RNAcentral.